Molecule: long non-coding RNA, 259 nt
Filed under: Carica papaya (papaya)
Lineage: Eukaryota; Viridiplantae; Streptophyta; Magnoliopsida; Brassicales; Caricaceae
Description: long non-coding RNA (CPAP_LNC002232)
Source: RNAcentral
CAGGUCGAGGUGAACUGACGGCCUGGUGCUAGAGCACGGUGGCACUGCCUUGCUGAAACCCCAAAAUUAACUGAAAAAAGUUUUGGACAUUGAUUUUGGAUUUUUUGAGUAUUUUUAGGUACGUGACAAGUGUUUUGGAUUCCACGAAAAAAAAUUCAGGAAAUCCAGUAUCCGUUAGGAGGCAUGGCAAACAGUGCGACGUUUCGAAAUACCGAUCCGGGUAAGGAUUCCUCUCCCUAUUCCUCGUUAUGGUAAAUUG